Molecule: ribosomal RNA, 435 nt
Filed under: uncultured Ruminococcus sp.
Lineage: Bacteria; Bacillati; Bacillota; Clostridia; Eubacteriales; Oscillospiraceae
Description: partial 16S ribosomal RNA
Rfam family: Bacterial small subunit ribosomal RNA
Source: RNAcentral
ACGGAAGGCAGCAGUGGGGAAUAUUGCACAAUGGGGGAAACCCUGAUGCAGCGACGCCGCGUGAGCGAUGAAGUAUUUCGGUAUGUAAAGCUCUAUCAGCAGGGAAGAUAAUGACGGUACCUGACUAAGAAGCCCCGGCUAACUACGUGCCAGCAGCCGCGGUAAUACGUAGGGGGCAAGCGUUAUCCGGAUUUACUGGGUGUAAAGGGAGUGUAGGUGGUUUGGCAAGCCAGAUGUGAAAGCCCGGGGCUCAACCCCGUGGACUGCAUUUGGAACUGUUAAACUUGAGGGCAGGAGAGGAAAGUGGAAUUCCUAGUGUAGCGGUGAAAUGCGUAGAUAUUAGGAGGAACACCAGUGGCGAAGGCGGCUUUCUGGACUGUAACUGACACUGAGGCUCGAAAGCGUGGGGAGCAAACAGGAUUAGAUACCCUGGUA